UCAUGCCAAUGGCACUGCCCGGUAGCUAAAUGCGGAAGAGAUAAGUGCUGAAAGCAUCUAAGCACGAAACUUGCCCCGAGAUGAGUUCUCCCUGACUCCUUGAGAGUCCUGAAGGAACGUUGAAGACGACGACGUUGAUAGGCCGGGUGUGUAAGCGCAGCGAUGCGUUGAGCUAACCGGUACUAAUGAACCGUGAGGCUUAACCUUACAACGCCGAAG
This 219-nucleotide ribosomal RNA is filed under the name Escherichia coli. RNAcentral's name for it is "partial 23S ribosomal RNA". It matches the Rfam family "Bacterial large subunit ribosomal RNA", at positions 2724 to 2925 of the family's 2925-position model. The record is from RNAcentral. Lineage: Bacteria; Pseudomonadati; Pseudomonadota; Gammaproteobacteria; Enterobacterales; Enterobacteriaceae.